Molecule: ribosomal RNA, 584 nt
Filed under: Acinetobacter baumannii
Lineage: Bacteria; Pseudomonadati; Pseudomonadota; Gammaproteobacteria; Moraxellales; Moraxellaceae
Description: bacterial SSU rRNA
Rfam family: Bacterial small subunit ribosomal RNA
Source: RNAcentral
AGUAAUGCUUAGGAAUCUGCCUAUUAGUGGGGGACAACAUCUCGAAAGGGAUGCUAAUACCGCAUACGUCCUACGGGAGAAAGCAGGGGAUCUUCGGACCUUGCGCUAAUAGAUGAGCCUAAGUCGGAUUAGCUAGUUGGUGGGGUAAAGGCCUACCAAGGCGACGAUCUGUAGCGGGUCUGAGAGGAUGAUCCGCCACACUGGGACUGAGACACGGCCCAGACUCCUACGGGAGGCAGCAGUGGGGAAUAUUGGACAAUGGGGGGAACCCUGAUCCAGCCAUGCCGCGUGUGUGAAGAAGGCCUUAUGGUUGUAAAGCACUUUAAGCGAGGAGGAGGCUACUUUAGUUAAUACCUAGAGAUAGUGGACGUUACUCGCAGAAUAAGCACCGGCUAACUCUGUGCCAGCAGCCGCGGUAAUACAGAGGGUGCGAGCGUUAAUCGGAUUUACUGGGCGUAAAGCGUGCGUAGGCGGCUUAUUAAGUCGGAUGUGAAAUCCCCGAGCUUAACUUGGGAAUUGCAUUCGAUACUGGUGAGCUAGAGUAUGGGAGAGGAUGGUAGAAUUCCAGGUGUAGCGGUGAAAUG